This is a non-coding RNA of Schistosoma rodhaini, 45 nucleotides long. Lineage: Eukaryota; Metazoa; Platyhelminthes; Trematoda; Strigeidida; Schistosomatidae. The record is from Rfam.
AUCCAGCUGACGAGUCCCAAAUACGACGAGACACACGUCGUGCAU